GACGAACGCUGGCGGCGUGCCUAAUACAUGCAAGUCGAACGCAUUUUCUUUCACCGUAGCUUGCUACACCGAAAGAAAAUGAGUGGCGAACGGGUGAGUAACACGUGGGUAACCUGCCCAUCAGCGGGGGAUAACACUUGGAAACAGGUGCUAAUACCGCAUAAUUCCAUUUACCGCAUGGUAGAUGGGUGAAAGGCGCUUUUGCGUCACUGAUGGAUGGACCCGCGGUGCAUUAGCUAGUUGGUGGGGUACCGGCCUACCAAGGCUGCGAUGCAUAGCCGACCUGAGAGGGUGAUCGGCCACACUGGGACGGAGACACGGCCCAGACUUCUACGGGGGGCAGCAGUAGGGAAUCUUCGGCAAUGGACGCAAGUCUGACCGAGCAACGCCGCGGGAGUGAAGAAGGUUGUCGGAUCGUAAAACUCUGUUGUUAGAGAAGAACAAGGAUGAGAGUGGAAAGUUCAUCCCUUGACGGUAUCUAACCAGAAAGCCACGGCUAACUACGUG
This 507-nucleotide ribosomal RNA is filed under the name uncultured bacterium. RNAcentral's name for it is "partial 16S ribosomal RNA". It matches the Rfam family "Bacterial small subunit ribosomal RNA", at positions 28 to 507 of the family's 1533-position model. The record is from RNAcentral.